This 330-nucleotide long non-coding RNA is filed under the name Anser brachyrhynchus (Pink-footed goose). RNAcentral describes it as "lncRNA (ENSABRG00000003269.1)". The record is from RNAcentral. Lineage: Eukaryota; Metazoa; Chordata; Aves; Anseriformes; Anatidae.
UCCAGAUCUCUUGGUACCUACCCCUAGAGGCAGGUUUUGCCCCUGCUGCAGGCUGUGGAAGUACAACACUGUGAAAAUAAUUGAUAGAGGCACAGACUGCAGAAAGGAAGGAGGAAGGCUGAAUUCCCCUCUGUUACAUGCAGAUUAGCUCUCUGCUUGCUAUCAAUAUACACAUCAGCUAGACAAAGUUCGGACAGCGCUCUUUUAAAGGUCUUCUGCUUCAGCUGUGAUCAGAAAGAAUAUAGGAAAGAAAACCAAGUAAGGUUGCAGUCCUAUAAAUCUUUCUGCACUGAAUUACACUGAAUGGUGCCCCACAGAAAGACCAAGGUU